This 73-nucleotide transfer RNA is filed under the name Hapsidospora chrysogena. RNAcentral's name for it is "Acremonium chrysogenum tRNA-His". It matches the Rfam family "tRNA". Rfam says of the family: Transfer RNA (tRNA) molecules are approximately 80 nucleotides in length. Their secondary structure includes four short double-helical elements and three loops (D, anti-codon, and T loops). Further hydrogen bonds mediate the characteristic L-shaped molecular structure. tRNAs have two regions of fundamental functional importance: the anti-codon, which is responsible for specific mRNA codon recognition, and the 3' end, to which the tRNAs corresponding amino acid is attached (by aminoacyl-tRNA synthetases). tRNAs cope with the degeneracy of the genetic code in two manners: having more than one tRNA (with a specific anti-codon) for a particular amino acid; and 'wobble' base-pairing, i.e. permitting non-standard base-pairing at the 3rd anti-codon position. RNAcentral also lists the same sequence under 1 other name. The record is from RNAcentral. Lineage: Eukaryota; Fungi; Ascomycota; Sordariomycetes; Hypocreales; Bionectriaceae.
GUAGAUAUAGUUCAACGGUUAGAACGUCUAAUUGUGGCUUAGAAGGCUCUAGGUUCAAAUCCUAGUAUUUACC